GAGUGUCGAGUUGCUCCAUCUAACCAUCGAUGAUUAUGGUCCAUGGUUAGAUGAAGCAACUCGACACUU
RNAcentral lists this microRNA precursor (69 nucleotides) under Lotus japonicus. RNAcentral describes it as "miR11086 stem-loop (lja-MIR11086)". Lineage: Eukaryota; Viridiplantae; Streptophyta; Magnoliopsida; Fabales; Fabaceae. The record is from miRBase by way of RNAcentral.